This 61-nucleotide transfer RNA is filed under the name Rhadinaea calligaster. Its description in RNAcentral is "tRNA-His". The record is from RNAcentral. Lineage: Eukaryota; Metazoa; Chordata; Lepidosauria; Squamata; Dipsadidae.
UGUGUGUAAUUUAAAAAAAAUAUCAAACUGUGGCUCUGACUAUAGGAGAUUCUCCUCACAG